RNAcentral lists this ribosomal RNA (83 nucleotides) under Syrrhopodon bornensis. RNAcentral's name for it is "Syrrhopodon borneensis partial 5.8S ribosomal RNA". It matches the Rfam family "5.8S ribosomal RNA", at positions 72 to 154 of the family's 154-position model. From Rfam's summary of the family: 5.8S ribosomal RNA (5.8S rRNA) is a component of the large subunit of the eukaryotic ribosome. It is transcribed by RNA polymerase I as part of the 45S precursor that also contains 18S and 28S rRNA. Functionally, it is thought that 5.8S rRNA may be involved in ribosome translocation. RNAcentral also lists the same sequence under 2 other names. The record is from RNAcentral. Lineage: Eukaryota; Viridiplantae; Streptophyta; Bryopsida; Dicranales; Calymperaceae.
UUGCAGAAUUCCGCGAAUCAUCGAGUUUUUGAACGCAAGUUGCGCCCGAGGCUUGACCAAGGGCAUCUCUGCCAGAGCGUCAC